GAGUUUGAUCUUGGCUCAGAAUCAACGCUGGCGGCGCGCUUAACACAUGCAAGUCGAACGAGAAAGGGAGCAAUCCUGAGUAAAGUGGCGCACGGGUGAGUAACACGUGGGUAAUCUACCCUCUGGUGGGGAAUAACUCUGGGAAACCGGGCUAAUACCGCAUGUGGACCCGGGGCUUCGGCCUCUUUGUCCAAAGCAGUGAUGCGCUUCCGGAUGAGCCCGACUCCCAUUAGCUUGUUGGCGGGGUAACGGCCCACCAAGGCUACGAUGGGUAGCUGGCCUGAGAGGGUGGUCAGCAACACGAGGACUGAGAUACGGCCCAGACUCCUACGGGAGGCAGCAGUGGGGAAUAUUGCGCAAUGGUCGAAAGACUGACGCAGCGACGCCGCGUGUGGGAGGAAGCCCUUC
Molecule: ribosomal RNA, 408 nt
Filed under: uncultured delta proteobacterium
Lineage: Bacteria; Deltaproteobacteria
Description: bacterial SSU rRNA
Rfam family: Bacterial small subunit ribosomal RNA
Source: RNAcentral